Schistocerca gregaria is the source of this 3218-nucleotide long non-coding RNA. RefSeq lists it as uncharacterized. The transcript has 2 exons. Lineage: Eukaryota; Metazoa; Arthropoda; Insecta; Orthoptera; Acrididae. The record is from RefSeq and is a predicted model, not a curated record.
CACGCACGCACGCAACAUGUACAUACAUGACCACAGUCUCUGGCUGCUGUGGUCAGAAAGUGGCCUGUCCCCAGCAGCCUGAGACUCUCUCUCUCUCUCUCUCUCUCUCUCUCUCUCUCUCUCUCUCUCUCUCUCUCUCUCUCUCUCUGUGUGUGUGUGUGUGUGUGUGUGUGUGUGUGUGUGUGUGUGUGUGUGUGUUGAAUAUGGGUGAAGGUAACCACUUUUUGUGUAGUUUAGGUGUUGACAGGCAAAUAAACAAAAAUGAAAUCGUUGCUAAGUUUUCAGGCACACUCCUGCUCUGAGAGCUAAUGAGCUAAAAACUAUACACACAGCAUUCUGAUGCUGCAACCUUACAGGCUUGUGGGACAAUAUAGUUGUAGUUAUUGAAGAAGAGAGAGAACUUUUUUUUUACCUUAUAGGUUCCAUUGAGUUAACUUUAGUGGUAAUACUCCACUGCAAUAAGUUUGUGUAUGUUUCAAUUUGCCCCCUCCCUCUAAUUAGUCUGUCAGCUCUGAAGGACAACCUCAGCACUAAUUUAAAUAUUGUAUACAUACCCAUUGACUGCACAACACCUGGAGUAUUCAGUGGGUGAUUACUUUUAUGUCUUACACUGUUUGUAUUCUGUUCAGGACUUUCCGAGUUCUAGCAUUGGUUUGUGUGUGAAGAGAGACUUUUUUAGUUGCAUAUCAUAUGUUGAGUCUCGUCGUAACAUGGUUAAUCAGAUAUCUGAGAGCUGUUCUCUUUCUUUCUUUUCUUGAAUAAGGGGGGUGUGGGCAGAGCUGCAAGUUCCCAACCACCCGUCCUUGUAGUUUACUAACGGUGACACGUUAUUACUUUCUGUCCUUCGAAGAUCAAACAUAUGGUGUCUUACUAUGUCCUUUUAUCUGUGAGAUACAGCAUGACUAUUUUUGUGAGUAAUUUGCUAAAAUUUGAUUAAUUUCUUGCAAAUGUUGUGUAAAUUUUUAAGAUUGAUAGUAUUUCUAGUGAGGCUACAUCUAAAGUAUAUGAUACAAUCAGCUUUGUUCCAGUUUCGUUGGUAAUCACAAUAACUGUGCUUUUGCAUUUUUUUCAAUCAUUACUGGUCAGAAAUGGCAUCAAGAAAAGAAGUAUUUUAUUUAUACACUGCAUAAGAUAUCAGAGAAAUAGUCUGUAUGUUUGUUUGCAAGUCUGAAAAUUGACAUGAGAGAUUAUUUGAAGAUUCUAAUGAUUAAAGGUAAACUGUUUAACUAAAUCUACUUGUCAAGCUUGCAGACAUGACAGGUAGUCAAAAAUAUAAGCUGAAUUUUAGGAACCUCAGAAUAUUUGUUUGGCGACUGAGUAAUGGACUUACUGUGAAAUUAUCCAGUCAGUACAUUGAUAGCAUCAAAUACAAUUAAUCCGACGUGUGUGGUAUAAAGCCUCCUCCAUCCGUACUUCCUUCUCUGUGAGUCUCUAAAGGUUCAGAUUUAUUUUCCAAGUCAUAAGGUAUGUUUCAAUAAUUUGUGCCAACUAUCAGCAUGACUACUUUCUUUUUGCAGAUGUCAUUCUUGAUGAAAAGCUUGAAUUAUUAAGAGGAAGAUGCUUCUUUGCCCAAUACAGUACGCCUGUACCAGAUCAGUUCAGUACAAAACUCUUUGCUCCCAAAGACAUUAGAACAUCUUACACCAGUAAAUUAGAGAUUUAUGCCUGAAGGCUACCAAAUUGUGUGUAUGCACCGAGUUAUAAGAGCCUGGUUGAUGUCGAAUGCAUGGUUGCCUCGUGGUUUCAGUCCGUAGAGUAUUUUUGUGUGUGUGAUGUCAGAGUUUAGAUGUUCUUCAUUAAAGGCGUACGUUUCAAUUCUUUGGUGUUGAAGUUAUUGCAAAAAGGUCUUCAUCCACCUCUGAAACUGAUAUUAACUACUACAGUAAAAAAGGAGAAAGGUAUUCGUUGUCAAGAAACAUACAGCUGUGAAAUUUAGAAAAGCAAACGACUUUGUGGUGACAAGUAUAAGAGUAUUAGGACAGGUGUAACAAUACUGUGUAAGACAAAGAAUUGUGAUGUUUGCUGUUGUAAAAAUAUAUAUACUGAAGUUUAGAUGAGAAGGAACUUUGUUUGAUGUACGUUCAAAAAAAUCAAGCGCACACAUUCUCACUGGGCCUGAUUGAUCAAAUAUCACCAUUAUGGAAGCAAUCACAAAAGAAGCAUCAGUCAAAUGAUAUAGCAUUUUUGUUUAUCAUUUAUUGAAAGGCCUGAAUAAUAGGAGCAAGCAUGGCCAUUGCAAUACUGAAUGGCAUAUGUGCUUUUAUUGAUGAACACAUUAAUGAAGACAGGAUUCAUUAUUACUCAGAUCUCUGCUGAAAGUAUCCUGAAUUUUAAGAACUGGUGACCUCUGUUUGGGAUGGGGUGGGUGGAGGGUGCGAAGUUCCUGGAAAAGUCCUUCAAUAUCCAAGUACAGGCCGUUAGAACACUUCUUACCUAAGGUUAUUUAACCACAGCUGAGUUCGGCAUACAUUGGAAAAAAUCCAAUACCAGACAGGAAGAUCUGGGUUGUACAUGACAUAGUUACUUGCAUUCCAUAUGAGUGUAGUCUGUUUUAUGAGGAGGUACUAAUGAGGCCAAAAGCAGUAAAAGUGAAGGACAGUAAUUAUAUUUAAAAUAAAUUUCAUAGAUAAUGGUUUCAAAACCUUUAAAUAGAAUAGACAUUUCCUGUAAAUGUUGUAUCAUGAAAGUUUUGUGAAAAUAUAAAUAUAUCUGAUGUUGUAAUAAUAAGUUUUAAUGCUUAAUACAUAAUCAGUUUGAAGAAGGAAACAAAUCCUCAGUCAUUAAUUUGCUGAUGUAUCUUUCUGGACAUAACAUUUCAUCUUUCCAUGCCACUGAGAUGGCUGGUUAAUGUAAACAAACUUGUAUAAUUCUUUGGUUAAGACAAGAUUACAAAUAAGAACAGGAGAUGGUUUUUUGUUUUUCCUACAGAUGGGGCUUUUGAAUUUCUUACUUCUUCAAACUACCAAUUCAGUUCCGAUUGCAAUAUUGUUGUUGUCAGAUAUUUCCAAUAUCCAAUAUCUUUGCUUCAAGUAUUGUGUAUUUUUAUGCCCUUGUGGACUUGUAUCAGUGCUUUUUUAAAGUGAAGGAGAUCUCUGAAAACUGUCAGUGAUAGACAAAAAAUACAUAAUAUUGACUGAAGAUACUUAUUGAAAUAGCUUUUAAAUUUUAUUUUUUUGUGUUAUUUGGAAGUUUGAAAUAAAUAUCUUCUAAAAAGUUGA